GAUUGAACGCUGGCGGCAGGCCUAACACAUGCAAGUCGAACGGUAACAGGAAGCAGCUUGCUGCUUCGCUGACGAGUGGCGGACGGGUGAGUAAUGUCUGGGAAGCUGCCUGAUGGAGGGGGAUAACUACUGGAAACGGUAGCUAAUACCGCAUAAUGUCGCAAGACCAAAGAGGGGGACCUUCGGGCCUCUUGCCAUCGGAUGUGCCCAGAUGGGAUUAGCUUGUUGGUGGGGUAACGGCUCACCAAGGCGACGAUCCCUAGCUGGUCUGAGAGGAUGACCAGCCACACUGGAACUGAGACACGGUCCAGACUCCUACGGGAGGCAGCAGUGGGGAAUAUUGCACAAUGGGCGCAAGCCUGAUGCAGCCAUGCCGCGUGUAUGAAGAAGGCCUUCGGGUUGUAAAGUACUUUCAGCGGGGAGGAAGGGAGUAAAGUUAAUACCUUUGCUCAUUGACGUUACCCGCAGAAGAAGCACCGGCUAACUCCGUG
RNAcentral lists this ribosomal RNA (491 nucleotides) under uncultured bacterium. RNAcentral describes it as "partial 16S ribosomal RNA". It matches the Rfam family "Bacterial small subunit ribosomal RNA", at positions 27 to 507 of the family's 1533-position model. The record is from RNAcentral.